This 261-nucleotide ribosomal RNA is filed under the name uncultured bacterium. RNAcentral's name for it is "partial 16S ribosomal RNA". It matches the Rfam family "Bacterial small subunit ribosomal RNA", at positions 793 to 1055 of the family's 1533-position model. The record is from RNAcentral.
GUCCACGCCAUAAACGAUGACAACUAGACGUUGGGAGGUAUAACUUUCCAGUGUCGCAGCUAACGCGUUAAGUUGUCCGCCUGGGGAGUACGGCCGCAAGGUUGAACUCAAAGGAAUUGACGGGACCCGCACAAGCGGUGGAGCAUGUGGUUUAAUUCGAUGCAACGCGAAGAACUUUACCUGGCCUUGACAUGCUUGGAAUCCUGCAGAGAUGUGGGAGUGCCUUCGGGAACCAAGACACAGGUGCUGCAUGGCUGUCGU